GCGGCCGAUUAGGUAGUUGCUGGGGUAACGUCCCAACAAGCCGAUAAUCGGUACGGGUUGUGAGAGCAAGAGCCCGGAGAUGGAUUCUGAGACACGAAUCCAGGUCCUACGGGGCGCAGCAGGCGCGAAAACUUUACACUGCGCGAAAGCGCGAUAAGGGGACCUCGAGUGCGUGCGCAAAGCGUACGCUUUUCAGAUGCCUAAAAAGCAUCUGGAAUAAGGGCCGGGCAAGACCGGUGCCAGCCGCCGCGGUAACACCGGCGGCUCAAGUGGUGGCCGCUAUUAUUGGGCUUAAAGGGUCCGUAGCCGGACCAGUUAGUCCCUUGGGAAAUCUUACGGCUUAACCGUAAGGCUGCCAAUGGAUACUGCUGGUCUUGGGACCGGGAGAGGCAAGAGGUACCUCAGGGGUAGGAGUGAAAUCCUGUAAUCCUUGAGGGACCGCCAGUGGCGAAGGCGUCUUGCUAGAACGGGUCCGACGGUGAGGGACGAAAGCUAGGGGCACGAACCGGAUUAGAUACCCGGGUAGUUCUAGCCGUAAACGAUGCGAGCUAGGUGUCACGUGGAUUGCGAAUCCAUGUGGUGCCGAAGGGAAACCGUGAAGCUCGCCGCCUGGGAAGUACGGCCGCAAGGCUGAAACUUAAAGGAAUUGGCGGGGGAGCAC
Molecule: ribosomal RNA, 661 nt
Filed under: uncultured euryarchaeote
Lineage: Archaea; Methanobacteriati; Methanobacteriota
Description: bacterial SSU rRNA
Rfam family: Archaeal small subunit ribosomal RNA
Source: RNAcentral